Raphanus sativus (radish) is the source of this 1020-nucleotide long non-coding RNA. RefSeq lists it as uncharacterized. Lineage: Eukaryota; Viridiplantae; Streptophyta; Magnoliopsida; Brassicales; Brassicaceae. The transcript has 2 exons. The record is from RefSeq and is a predicted model, not a curated record.
AUUUUCUAACUCUUACUAACAAAAGUAACAAAAUAUUUAAAACAGGAUAAAAAUAGAAAGCUUGCUUCUGAUUGGUCAAAGCACAAAGGGAAGGAUUGGCUUUGAUUAGUCAUCCACCGUUGAUAUGAAAAAUCGUACGGCCACUAAAUAGUCAAUUCUUUUUAUUUUCCUCCUCUUCUUUAAUCAUUUCAAUAUACAAAUAAUAUGAUAAAGUGAAAUGUUGAGAUUGGUUAAUAUCUGAUGACAAAGAUAGCUAUUUUUAACCAUUGAUUAUUUUGAUCCAAUGGAUGUAAUUCAAUUUGCUCCUUGUCCAAUCAUUUUCUUUUGGUCUUCCUCUCACUCUCACGUUUCUCUCUGCUCCUCUCUCUAUUGAGAUUUCAUUUCAUCAUUCUACUCUUCUUCUUUCUUCACCAUAGCAAUCCUCAUUCUACAAACACAAACCAUUAUCACUGUCACCUCCGCCCGAAGCCACCAUCACAUCCGCCACCUCCUCCUCCUUGUUCUCCACCUUCGCGGACCACAAUCGCAUCCUCCUCCUCCUUGUUCCUCAACCACAAAUCUAGAUUCGUGAAUGGAGAUGACGCUGGUGAGACUGGAGAUGACGACGACAGAGGUCUCAAACAAACGUAAAUAGGCAUACGAAUCUGGGAGGAGGCACGGAAGCUGCAGAUGAAGACGUCUCCGGUCAAGGCUGGAAGAGGAGGAGGCACAAGGCUCAUGAAGGAGGCGAGGCGGCAGCUGCGUCGAAGGAGGCGCACGGAAGCUGUAGUGGGGGAGACCCUGAGGCUGGAAGCAGAGACGACGGCGUCUCCGGUCAAGGAUGGAGAAGGCCAGGCGCACUGGUUGAGGAGGCACACAUGGAAGAAGCGCACAUGGAGAAGGGCGGCUGGAGUUUUUUUUUUAAGGGUUUUCCGGUUUAGUGUAAACCGAAUUGGAUAAACCGUUGUGGUUUACUUUAUUUUUUAUUUUUCUGGUUUAGUUUUGUAAACCGAAAUUUAUUUAUCAAAAUAUUUUAUUUUA